GGUGAAUGGGGUGCUGGCCUAGUGUUCACCUGGAGGUGUGGGUGUGGCCCGCCAAGGGUGGGAGUCUGAUGCCGACUUUUACUCCAAGCGCGAAUAUUCUGAGGGGCAUUGAGCUGACAGAUUGGCCCUCCCUGGAACCCUGGAGUCCCGGUGCACCCCCUUCACCAAGCACUGCGUCAGUGCUGUGAGAGUCCUGCCCCAGUCUCUUGAUACUGGUAAGAGUGGACCCUCUUCUCUCUCUUGCAGAAUGUCCCCAUUCCAAGCUACUACCUGGCCCACCGAGCCCUCCAGGGGUCUUGAGUGCCUCGCUCACUGGGUGCUUCACUCGGCGCCACCGGCAGCCCUGUGCUUCCUUGCACUGGGCAAGCAGUGGAGCAGAAGAGAGGCAAGGCUAAUGGCAAGGGUAGGCCUUCGGGAAGUGAAGCUCAAGGAGGAAUUCGGCUUUGGGAAGACCAUAGGGAGGUGGAUUCUUAAGGUAGGGGAAGGUAGAUUCUGCCUGCUGCUUCUCAAUUAUCCCCUGGUGCAUAGGUGGUAGCAAAUGCCUGGCAAGCCUUUCUGUAGUAGACCUUCACUAGAUUGUACCUCCAAUCCUAGGGGGGAGGGAGGGCAGCCAGGAUCUCCCCAAGACCUUGUGUCAGGGAGAGUACUGAUGGGGAGGCCUCCGCCCUGAGCGCUGAUGGGUGCAGGGGCCCCUCACAAACUGGCUGAGACCAGCCUCUGCGGAGGCCCAGCAACAAAAAGGGUGUAGUCCAAAGGAAACCUUGGUGAUGGGUAUGUGUGUGUGUGAACUUGCAGAGCGUGUGAGAGAGAGAGAGAGAGAGUGAAUGCGGUGUUUUAAUCUUUGCAAGGGCAGUUUCCUGCAGUAGGAGGAGAAACCACUAAGCUUUCCAUGCUGUUAGGAACUGCUUUUCCCCAUGAAUGGCCCUCUUGGCUGCACCCCUGGUUGUGGAAAAUUUGCUUGCACUCCCAGGCCUGCAUGCAAUUCCUGGGCUGCUUCUGCCCUCUCCUGGGCUCUGCUGAUAGCUUCCAACCUGAACGUGUCAGGCAGGCAUUGGCCCAGCAGGGGGAGCCUCCAGACGGAGGCUAUUUCCCAAGCCCGGCUGGAGGACCCCCUUGAGCAGAGAGCUGUUUAAAUAAGCACAGCACGGGAACUCAGAAGACAAGGAAGCUGCUGGAAAACGACUUUCUGUAGAAAGAAGCUAUGCCUGCCUUGUGUUCCAGAAGUAACAGGCGGUGUUUACUGGCUGCCCCUGAGCUCAGGGCCUCGCCUCCUUUCCAUCCAUCCUUUCCUCUUCUCACAUCAGGGCGCUCGGGCCAGGCCGCUGAGCAGAGCACUUUUACAAAGUCCCUCUCGCUUUGUCUAGUUCCAUACUGGUCGCAGCUCUGCUGGCAGGGCUGGGGCUCCGGGGGCAAACCAGCCCACACUCCAGUUGCUACGGGCAUUAUGAAGAGCGGUGGCAACCGGGAAUGUAUCUGGCUCCCCGGCCCCACACGCUUGGCCCAAGGGAGGAGCCUGGGGAAGGGCUUCCAGGAAAGGGUUCCUGCCUGCCCUGGAGGAAGGCCCCUCUCCGGGUGGGCUGGGGGCCUCCAGUGAUUUGCCGGUGCCCAUCUUAAAAGAAUCCUUAACCAACUUGUGACUGACACUGCUGCAGGAAAAGAAAUCCUUCGGCAGCAGCACAGCUCCUGUGCUAGGAGGGCAUCUUGCCUGGUGUUUGUUUUUUUGUUUUUGUGCAUAUUUUUCCGAAGUGGAAAUUGGAAUUUUCCCCCAUUAUAAUCCUAAACUCUUUAAAAACGAGGGGAAAAAAAAGUAAUGAAGGGAGAAAAUGUUCCCUUGAGAAAUACAUGCUUUCAAGAGUAAAACCAGUUUUUACUCGUGAAAGGGGAAACACUACUUUUUAUGCCAGUAAACACCUCAUUGAUUCCGUGUAUGUGAUUUGAUUUGCACAUGUGAAAGUGGAGACAUUUUUUGCGUUUUUGCUUAGAUGGGGUUUUUGUCACUGCUCAUAGUUUGCUUUUGGUGUGUGCUGUAUGUUUGGAAAUACUAGGAGUUGUUUGUUUGAUAUUUAUUAUUUCUCUGAUGUGCCUUUUCACUUUCCUUUGGGGUUGGUUUUUAGAAUCUGGCUGCUCUUGAGGGAAGAUUUCUCCAGCUUGGAGAGAGGACAUGUUUUUUGUCACUGCAGAUGCUCAGACCGGGCAUCAAAAUUGCCCUCCAUGCCACAGUAUACGUACGCAUAUACCCCACGUGCCAUGAGAACCCCAAGAGAAGGGCUGGCUUCCUCCAGACCAGCCACGCUCUCCUCAGCUGCUCACCCAUGCCUUUGGGUGCAUCUGGGGACUGCUGGUUGCCAGGUGCCCGGGGGCCUGCACUGGCUGCCACCCAGGCACUUGGGAGGUGUGGCUGGGGCAGACCAGCCCUAUCUGCGGGGUUGCACUGAAGGGGAGCAGGCCCAGCUGAGCUCAUAAGCAGCACUGGCCUAAAAGCACUAUCUAGUUAGCAUCAUACAGGGGAAAGAUCAUGAACCCCCCUUUUUUGUUACCUUGGUGAGCGCAGGACUUACUAGUGGCGACUCCCUUUGGGAGCAGAGCCCCAGUGCAGCUCUCUGGUAGUGACGGCGUAAAUGCCUCCCGUUGGACUGAAACCGUGUGCUGUUUAGGCGGGUUUGUGCGUUCUAGACCCACCAAGGCAGGCCACCCCGUGUCUCCAAGGUGCAUAUAAAAGGGACCUCGCCACCCACCCACAUUCCCCCCAAAUUCUUGAUUUUAAAAAAGGUUUAUUUUGUUAACGACGGGCUCUGUUGUGUGUGAUAUCCCAAGCCUGGAUUGUUUUAUUUAUUUAAAAGUAUUGGAAGCUCCAUAUUGGCUUCUUUCUAAUCCCAUUCAUCCCUGUGGGGCUGCAGAGCACCUUCGCGUGAAGAGGUAGAUAGACAUAGACUCCUGCUUUUUUAGGAAAGUGGGAACUACCUAAAGGCUGAGGCUAAGUUCUUUUCGUACUUGUUGGCUUCAACAGCAAUGGACAGUCACAUUUUUUAUAGCAAAAGGCCAAAUUAGCUGUAUAGUCUGGAUGCAGAAAUAAAUUGCCCUAGCUUUGUCCUUAGCACUUAGGGUUUUUGUGAGGAUUCAGUGUUUAGCAGUGUCGGGCACAUAGUAAGCCUAGUCAAUGUUAAUAUUGUUAUCAUCAUUAGAAUUUCAUACACUUUGAGAAAUACAGAGCUGAGCUCACACCCUACCUGUUGAGUAAUAUCUACAUGGAGAUAUCGUUCCAAAGUGAUGUACUAGCACAGGAAUUACUGGUUUAAGAUGUUCAUGUUCCGUGCCCACCCUGCUGGUUGGAACAUUGCUGUAUCCCUGAAUGGACUGAUUUGAAAAUAUGCCAGUUGAAACCAGGCUCAAGAAUUUGUAAACUGGCAAUGAAAAAAAGGGUGGCCUUUGGCCACAUACUGGCCCUCACACCAUGGAGGUCUUCUGGAUGACUCCUGGGUUUGUCUUUGCAAAACUUUUUAAUCCACAAAUUGAGUUCUGAUACACCCUGAAAAUCAGAGUUAAUUAUGGUCCUCUGAAAUAGGAGACUUUGUUUUUUAUUUAAAAAGAAUAAACAGUGGAGUUUCUGCCUUUCCCAGGAAGUCCCUCUGUUGUCCCCUGCUGGCCAGGGAGGCCCCUCCACAGACCAAUCCUCAGGGACCAGACUCCUGGGCUGGUUAGCUGUCACUUAUUUCUGUUGGUCCUCGUCCCAGAGAAGACCCAGCUCCCCAAAGCCCAGCCAAGACUCCCUCCGGGUGGGGGUGGGAGGGGUGCAGCACCCUUCAGAGGUUCAGUGAUGUUUUCCUGAUCACCAAAAAUACCAGUUCACUUUUUUGUAUGAUUGGGCAUUCAGCCUCUUCCCUAAUAUCUAGAGUUCUGUCUCCUGUCCUGUCUCGGCCUAACUGGAUAGAUUAUAGUUGUGGAAUAUGGAGAAAUUUGCUAGACUCCAGUAUCUUUUUCAAGUUCCUUUGGAUCCUCUUCGACUGAAUCAGUAGUCGUCUUCUGUGGAUGUAAGUUUGAAAUUUACCUUCUUCUAAGCAUCACCCCCCCCCAAUCCCCAGGUUUUGUGCAGCCUUAAGAUCCUCACACCCUCCGUCACACAGCUGGUGAGGGGUGGAAGGGGGGGCCAUAUGCUCACGCAUGGGUGGCCCUUCUGUGGGUGGCACUGAGGGAGCACUCCAGGUGCGGGAGGUAGAGCGGCCUCACUGGAACCUUAGCACAGUCUGCCAGCUCUGCCAAAGUGGAGAUGGAGAACACUUGAGAAGCAUUUUGCUCACUGCCCCAGUAUUAACAGGGCAAUCACGGAACAAUCGAUGCCAAAGGAGAUGGUGAUGUCCUUGCUUCUGUAGCUGCUGUCACAACCUUGAUGUCUUUAGGCUAAUGGCUGUUUGCGUCUGUCUUCAGCUCCUGGUACAACCACUUUCUACUGUUCACUUCUGGGGUUAAGUAGUGCAGGAUUCUGCAAAUAAGGUGUCGCUGUCCAAAUGUACUGUACCGGCAUAGAGAGCACUGCUUUGUUUUCCACUGUUGUAGAGAAAACUAGGGAGAACUUUAUUUUUCAAUAAAUUUUUCUUGUGUCACAGGUGGAAGUGAUUUUUGGGGGGAGGGGGCUGGGAAGCAGGGUCACCUACGGAACAAAGCUCGGCCACUGUCCUGCUGGUGUCCACGGACCACAUUACAUCGUUUGUGAAAGUGCUGCAAAUGCUGAUGGGAAGACUUUCCCUUGUACCAAGUGACCAGCCCAUAGAACACGCAAGAUGCUUGGAGGAGGAGCCUCGCCGAAAGCAUCAGAGUGAAAUAAGGCAAAUAUGGUGAGGCCAAUGAGCACGCCGAUGCUGCCGUCCAGAUACCAGACUGCUGCGUUAUGCUUGAAGACCUCUGCACUCAGAAGAAUGGAGAAGCCCAUGACACCCCCCACCAGGGAGUUAAAUCCUGAAAGAGAAGCAGAGACAUGGCAGUGUCAAGGGAACUGUCUUCACCACCAAGAAAACUACCCAAAUGUUCCACAUUCCAGAGCACACACAGGAAGGACGGUACCCUCUCCGAAAGAGAGCCUCCUUGAGUCACCUGAGAAUUUUCACUCUCCAGGAAGAGAAGUGCAAAGUCUACAAUUAACUAUGUUUGCAGAAUGACUAUGAAAACAAAACUGCAGUUCAUAGACACCAUCACCUUUCAUGUCACUUCAUUUGGGACCCUCUCAGGAAGGUGAGGCUUUGGAGCGGCUCCCAGGGGUCUCGCUGUGGCGCAAGCCACGUUUCUCACCUGCCUCAGUGUCAUGAUGACCCAGCAACUGGUCUGCUUCUGUCUCAGGGCACUUCCGCCUACAUAAUCCAUACCUCUUCUGAACUCCAAGCAUGAGCAUUAAUCCACUGUUACCUCCAAAAUUCAUUCUCACCACCCCUCACCUGCACUGCUACAGUAGCCUAUUCACCACCACCCCAAUGUGCCUCCCAACCCACAAUCCAUUCCCCUCCCAGCAGCCAGGGAACACAGUGAUCUUGGGAAGUAAACAGCCAAAACCAAUAGAAA
Talpa occidentalis (Iberian mole) is the source of this 5547-nucleotide long non-coding RNA. RefSeq lists it as uncharacterized. NCBI's taxonomy places the organism in Eukaryota, Metazoa, Chordata, Mammalia, Eulipotyphla, Talpidae. The transcript is spliced from 4 exons. The record is from RefSeq and is a predicted model, not a curated record.